This 768-nucleotide ribosomal RNA is filed under the name uncultured Acidobacteriaceae bacterium. RNAcentral describes it as "bacterial SSU rRNA". It matches the Rfam family "Bacterial small subunit ribosomal RNA", at positions 297 to 1052 of the family's 1533-position model. Lineage: Bacteria; Pseudomonadati; Acidobacteriota; Terriglobia; Terriglobales; Acidobacteriaceae. The record is from RNAcentral.
GGGGGGGUCGGCCACACUGACACUGACAUACGGGUCAGACUCCUACGGGAGGCAGCAGUCGGGAAUUUUGGGCAAUGGGCGAAAGCCUGACCCAGCAACGCCGCGUGAAGGAUGAAAUCCCUCGGGGAUGUAAACUUCGCAAGAACGGGAAGAAUAAGUAAGGGUUAAUAUCUCUUACGAUGACGGUACUGUUUGUAAGCUCCGGCUAACUCCGUGCCAGCAGCCGCGGUAAUACGGGGGGAGCAAGCGUUGUUCGGAUUUACUGGGCGUAAAGGGCGCGUAGGCGGCCACCGCAAGUCGACUGUGAAAUCUCUGGGCUUAACCCAGAAAGGUCAGCCGAUACUGCGGGGCUAGAGUGCAGAAGGGGCAACUGGAAUUCUCGGUGUAGCGGUGAAAUGCGUAGAUAUCGAGAGGAACACCUGCGGCGAAGGCGGGUUGCUGGGCUGACACUGACGCUGAGGCGCGAAAGCUAGGGGAGCGAACGGGAUUAGAUACCCCGGUAGUCCUAGCCUUAAACGAUGAAUGCUUGGUGUCUGGGGUUUUAUAGUCCCCGGGUGCCGUCGCUAACGCUUUAAGCAUUCCGCCUGGGGAGUACGGUCGCAAGACUGAAACUCAAAGGAAUUGACGGGGACCCGCACAAGCGGUGGAGCAUGUGGUUUAAUUCGACGCAACGCGAAGAACCUUACCUGGGCUAGAAUGCCUCUGACCGCCCUAGAGAUAGGGCUUCCUGGGUAAAACCAGGCAGAGUGCAAGGUGCUGCAUGGCUUC